This 465-nucleotide ribosomal RNA is filed under the name Vreelandella stevensii. RNAcentral's name for it is "partial 16S ribosomal RNA". It matches the Rfam family "Bacterial small subunit ribosomal RNA", at positions 338 to 795 of the family's 1533-position model. The record is from RNAcentral. Lineage: Bacteria; Pseudomonadati; Pseudomonadota; Gammaproteobacteria; Oceanospirillales; Halomonadaceae.
CCUACGGGUGGCAGCAGUGGGGAAUAUUGGACAAUGGGGGCAACCCUGAUCCAGCCAUGCCGCGUGUGUGAAGAAGGCCCUCGGGUUGUAAAGCACUUUCAGUGAGGAAGAACGCCUGGUGGUUAAUACCCAUCAGGAAAGACAUCACUCACAGAAGAAGCACCGGCUAACUCCGUGCCAGCAGCCGCGGUAAUACGGAGGGUGCGAGCGUUAAUCGGAAUUACUGGGCGUAAAGCGCGCGUAGGUGGCUUGAUAAGCCGGUUGUGAAAGCCCCGGGCGCAACCUGGGAACGGCAUCCGGAACUGUCAAGCUAGAGUGCAGGAGAGGAAGGUAGAAUUCCCGGUGUAGCGGUGAAAUGCGUAGAGAUCGGGAGGAAUACCAGUGGCGAAGGCGGCCUUCUGGACUGACACUGACACUGAGGUGCGAAAGCGUGGGUAGCAAACAGGAUUAGAUACCCUUGUAGUC